This 606-nucleotide ribosomal RNA is filed under the name uncultured bacterium. RNAcentral describes it as "bacterial SSU rRNA". The stretch from base 1 to 516 matches the Rfam family "Bacterial small subunit ribosomal RNA", at positions 338 to 873 of the family's 1533-position model. The record is from RNAcentral.
CCUACGGGAGGCAGCAGUGGGGAAUCUUGCGCAAUGGGCGAAAGCCUGACGCAGCCAUGCCGCGUGAAUGAUGAAGGUCUUAGGAUUGUAAAAUUCUUUCACCGGGGACGAUAAUGACGGUACCCGGAGAAGAAGCCCCGGCUAACUUCGUGCCAGCAGCCGCGGUAAUACGAAGGGGGCUAGCGUUGCUCGGAAUUACUGGGCGUAAAGGGAGCGUAGGCGGAUAGUUUAGUCAGAGGUGAAAGCCCAGGGCUCAACCUUGGAAUUGCCUUUGAUACUGGCUAUCUUGAGUGUGGGAGAGGUAUGUGGAACUCCGAGUGUAGAGGUGAAAUUCGUAGAUAUUCGGAAGAACACCAGUGGCGAAGGCGACAUACUGGCCCAUUACUGACGCUGAGGCUCGAAAGCGUGGGGAGCAAACAGGAUUAGAUACCCUGGUAGUCCACGCUGUAAACGAUGAGUGCUAGUUGUCGGCAUGCAUGCAUGUCGGUGACGCAGCUACGCAUAAGACACUCCGCCGUCGGGUAGGUACGGUCGCGAGAGUUAAAACGUUAAAGUAAGUUAGUACGGCGUGAGACGUCGCCGACGGACGACGACGAGGGAGUUAGG